RNAcentral lists this ribosomal RNA (462 nucleotides) under uncultured bacterium. Its description in RNAcentral is "partial 16S ribosomal RNA". It matches the Rfam family "Bacterial small subunit ribosomal RNA", at positions 28 to 507 of the family's 1533-position model. The record is from RNAcentral.
GACGAACGCUGGCGGCGUGCUUAACACAUGCAAGUCGAACGGUGAAGCCCUUCGGGGUGGCUCAGUGGCGAACGGGUGAGUAACACGUGAGCAACCUGCCCCUGGCUCUGGGACAACCACUGGAAACGGUGGCUAAUACCGGAUACGACCCGCCUCGGCAUCGAGUGUGGGUGGAAAGGUUUUCGGCUGGGGAUGGGCUCACGGCCGAUCAGCUUGUUGGUGAGGUGAAGGCUCACCAAGGCGACGACGGGUAGCCGGCCUGAGAGGGCGACCGGCCACACUGGGACUGAGACACGGCCCAGACUCCUACGGGAGGCAGCAGUGGGGAAUAUUGCACAAUGGGCGAAAGCCUGAUGCAGCGACGCCGCGUGAGGGAUGACGGCCUUCGGGUUGUAAACCUCUUUCAGCUCCGAAGAAGCGAAAGUGACGGUAGGAGCAGAAGAAGCACCGGCUAACUACGUG